AAAUAACCAAUGAAACUGAUCUUGCAGUCCAAAAGCUGCAAUAAAAACACCAGACGAGAAGACCCUGUGGAGCUUCAAACCAAAACCAAGUUAAUGACCCAUUGGUUUUUAGUUGGGGCAACUUCGGAGCAUAAAACAACCUCCGACAAAAAGUCAAGACUAACAAGUCUAAACAAACAACUUACUUGACCCAAUACUCUAAAUAUGAGUGUUUGAUCAAUGAACCAAGUUACCCCAGGGAUAACAGCGCUAUCCCCCUUUAGAGUCCCUAUCGACAGGGGGGCUUACGACCUCGAUGUUGGAUCAGGACACCCCAAUAAUGCAGCCGUUAUUAAAGGUUCGUUUGUUCAACGAUUAAAGUCCU
This 364-nucleotide ribosomal RNA is filed under the name Mesalina arnoldi. RNAcentral describes it as "partial 16S ribosomal RNA". It matches the Rfam family "Bacterial large subunit ribosomal RNA", at positions 2027 to 2597 of the family's 2925-position model. Lineage: Eukaryota; Metazoa; Chordata; Lepidosauria; Squamata; Lacertidae. The record is from RNAcentral.